RNAcentral lists this transfer-messenger RNA (147 nucleotides) under Gammaproteobacteria bacterium. RNAcentral describes it as "partial transfer-messenger RNA". It matches the Rfam family "transfer-messenger RNA", at positions 1 to 152 of the family's 374-position model. Rfam says of the family: Bacterial tmRNA, also known as 10Sa RNA or SsrA, is named for its dual tRNA and mRNA-like properties. Its role is to liberate the mRNA from a stalled ribosome. To accomplish this part of the tmRNA is used as a reading frame that ends in a translation stop signal. The record is from RNAcentral. Lineage: Bacteria; Pseudomonadati; Pseudomonadota; Gammaproteobacteria.
GGGGGCGUUCUGGCUUCGACGUGGAUCGGACGUACCCUGGGGCAUGCCGAGGAGGCAGCAACCCUCGUAAAACCUGGCUGCAAAAAGUUAGUUGCCAACGACGACAACUACGCACUGGCUGCCUAAAAACCAGCCUGCUCCUGACCG